AAAAUCGUAGACUAAAAAAGUUAACAAACUCAUAAUUUGUGGAUGGAGUUAUCCCGAUUUU
This 61-nucleotide transfer RNA is filed under the name Conchocele cf. bisecta HPD1644. RNAcentral's name for it is "tRNA-Met". The record is from RNAcentral. Lineage: Eukaryota; Metazoa; Mollusca; Bivalvia; Lucinida; Thyasiridae.